UGCCCAGUGACCCCAGUUCAACGGCCGCGGUACCCUGACCGUGCAAAGGUAGCAUAAUCACUUGUUCCCUAAAUAGGGACUUGCAUGAAUGGCCACACGAGGGUUGCACUGUCUCUUGCUUUCAAUCAGUGAAAUUGACAUUCUCGUGAAGAGGCGAGAAUAAAAAAAUUAGACGAGAAGACCCUAUGGAGCUUUAAUUAACUAACUCACAACAACCCCAGAAACCAUUCGAAAGAAAUAAGCUCUACCUGACUGAGUUAGCAAUUUAGGUUGGGGCGACCUCGGGAUAAAAAUAAACUCCCGAGAAAGUACAUCAAGACCUACCAGUCAAAAUUACAAUACUACACAUUGAUCCACUAUUAAGUGAUCAACGGAACAAGUUACCCUAGGGAUAACAGCGCAAUCCUAUUUAAGAGUCCAUAUCGACAAUUUAGGGUUUACGACCUCGAUGUUGGAUCAGGACAUCCCAAUGGUGCAGCAGCUAUUAAUGUGUUCGUUUGUUCAACGAUUAA
Molecule: ribosomal RNA, 512 nt
Filed under: Barbastella barbastellus (western barbastelle)
Lineage: Eukaryota; Metazoa; Chordata; Mammalia; Chiroptera; Vespertilionidae
Description: partial 16S ribosomal RNA
Rfam family: Bacterial large subunit ribosomal RNA
Source: RNAcentral